This 406-nucleotide ribosomal RNA is filed under the name uncultured bacterium. Its description in RNAcentral is "partial 16S ribosomal RNA". It matches the Rfam family "Bacterial small subunit ribosomal RNA", at positions 30 to 526 of the family's 1533-position model. The record is from RNAcentral.
AUUGAACGCUGGCGGCAGGCCUAACACAUGCAAGUCGAACGAGUGGCGGACGGGUGAGUAAUGUCUGGGAAACUGCCCGAUGGAGGGGGAUAACUACUGGAAACGGUAGCUAAUACCGCAUACCAUCGGAUGUGCCCAGAUGGGAUUAGCUUGUAGGUGAGGUAACGGCUCACCUAGGCGACGAUCCAUAGCUGGUCUGCUAGAAUGAACAGCCACACUGGAACGUAGACACGGUCCAGACUCCUACGUGAGGCAGCAGUGGGGAAUAUUGCACAAUGGGAGCAAGCCUGAUGCAGCCAGGCCGCGGGUAUGAAGAAGGGCUUCGGGUUGGAAAGUACUUUCAGCGGGGAGGCGUUACCCGCAGAAGAAGCACCGGCUAACUCCGUGCCAGCAGCCGCGGUAAUAC